This 774-nucleotide ribosomal RNA is filed under the name uncultured Neocallimastigales. RNAcentral describes it as "partial large subunit ribosomal RNA". It matches the Rfam family "Eukaryotic large subunit ribosomal RNA", at positions 26 to 643 of the family's 3401-position model. The record is from RNAcentral. Lineage: Eukaryota; Fungi; Neocallimastigomycota; Neocallimastigomycetes; Neocallimastigales.
CGUCUAUAUACGUAUAGCAUAUCAAUAAGCGGAGGAAAAGAAACUAACAAGGAUUCCCUUAGUAACGGCGAGUGAAGCGGGAAGAGCUCAAAUUUGAAAUCUUCAAGGUUCUACCUUGACGAAUUGUAGUUUAUAGAAGUGUUUUCUGUUAGUAGAGUGGCAAAAGUUCUUUGGAAUAGGACAUCAUAGAGGGUGAGAAUCCCGUAUUUGGUCAUUCUUUCUAGCUUUGUGAUACACUUUCAACGAGUCGGAUUGUUUGGGAAUGCAGUCCAAAAUGGGUGGUAAAUUUCAUCUAAAGCUAAAUAUUGGCGAGAGACCGAUAGCGAACAAGUACCGUGAGGGAAAGAUGAAAAGAACUUUGAAAAGAGAGUUAAACAGUACGUGAAAUUGUCAAAAGGGAAGCGUUUGACACCAGUGUUGUUUUUCCGAAAAUCAAUUACGAAUGUUUUGUUUUUAAGAAGUUAUGACUUCAUCGGCUUGCUUCUCUCUUUACGAAACUUUCUUAAUGCACUUUUCGGUUAACAAGUCAACAUCAAUUUCUUUUGUUGUAAAAGGGUAUGAGGAAGGUGGCUUUCUUUUCGGAGAAAGUGUUUAUAGCCUUGUACCUCUGCAAUCGGAGAGAUUGAGGUCUGCAGCGUAGAUCCUUCGGGGUUAGAUACAUUUGUGCUAAGUUAUAGCCAUUAUAGACAACUUGUUGACUAUGCCUAAGUCUUGUAGCUUACUCGCAUAUGUUAUUUUACCUACGCUUAGGAUGUUGACACACGCGCGUGCUCG